RNAcentral lists this ribosomal RNA (429 nucleotides) under uncultured bacterium. RNAcentral's name for it is "bacterial SSU rRNA". It matches the Rfam family "Bacterial small subunit ribosomal RNA", at positions 955 to 1385 of the family's 1533-position model. The record is from RNAcentral.
AGGAACGCGAAGAACCUUACCAGGUCUUGACAUCUUUUGAUCACCUGAGAGAUCAGGUUUCCCCUUCGGGGGCAAAAUGACAGGUGGUGCAUGGUUGUCGUCAGCUCGUGUCGUGAGAUGUUGGGUUAAGUCCCGCAACGAGCGCAACCCUUAUGACUAGUUGCCAGCAUUUAGUUGGGCACUCUAGUAAGACUGCCGGUGACAAACCGGAGGAAGGUGGGGAUGACGUCAAAUCAUCAUGCCCCUUAUGACCUGGGCUACACACGUGCUACAAUGGAUGGUACAACGAGUUGCGAGACCGCGAGGUCAAGCUAAUCUCUUAAAGCCAUUCUCAGUUCGGACUGUAGGCUGCAACUCGCCUACACGAAGUCGGAAUCGCUAGUAAUCGCGGAUCAGCACGCCGCGGGGAAUACGUUCCCGGGUCUUGUA